RNAcentral lists this ribosomal RNA (425 nucleotides) under uncultured bacterium. Its description in RNAcentral is "bacterial SSU rRNA". It matches the Rfam family "Bacterial small subunit ribosomal RNA", at positions 354 to 776 of the family's 1533-position model. The record is from RNAcentral.
GUGAGGAAUAUUGGUCAAUGGGCGGAAGCCUGAACCAGCCAAGUCGCGUGAGGGAAGACGGCCCUACGGGUUGUAAACCUCUUUUGCCGGGGAGCAGAGAGGUCCACGUGUGGAUCUUGGGAGAGUACCCGGAGAAAAAGCAUCGGCUAACUCCGUGCCAGCAGCCGCGGUAAUACGGAGGAUGCGAGCGUUAUCCGGAUUUAUUGGGUUUAAAGGGUGCGUAGGCGGCAUCGCAAGUCAGCGGUAAAAUUACGGGGCUCAACCCCGCCGAGCCGUUGAAACUGCGGAGCUUGAGUGGGCGAGAAGUAUGCGGAAUGCGUGGUGUAGCGGUGAAAUGCAUAGAUAUCACGCAGAACCCCGAUUGCGAAGGCAGCAUACCGGCGCCCGACUGACGCUGAAGCACGAAAGCGUGGGUAUCGAACAGG